AGGCACCCUGAGGGGAAGCCAUUUUGGUCGGUUAGUCUGUGAGGCUGUAUGAAAGCACGGCGCCAGUCGAGUGCCACGAGUUGAGCCAGACGGAAGGCUUUCAAAAUAAUCCUGGUAGAGGAGGCCUGAUUGAUACACCUUAGGUUGUGGCGGUGGGAACAGAAAGCAGCAUUAAAAGAUGCUGACUAUCGAUCUCCAGCUAACUGAGAGGUGAAGAAUUCACACCCUUCCCACAGUCUUACAGAUGACUCAUAGGAG
This is a long non-coding RNA of Oncorhynchus masou masou (cherry salmon), 258 nucleotides long. RefSeq lists it as uncharacterized. NCBI's taxonomy places the organism in Eukaryota, Metazoa, Chordata, Actinopteri, Salmoniformes, Salmonidae. The transcript has 3 exons. The record is from RefSeq and is a predicted model, not a curated record.